CGGAAUGGAUAAGCGCUGAAAGCAUCUAAGCGCGAAGCCAACUUCAAGAUAAGAUUUCCCACCGCAAGGGUAAGACCCCAGAAAGACUAUCUGGUUGAUAGGUCGAAGGUGUAAGUGCAGCAAUGUAUUUAGCUUAUCGAUACUAAUAGGUCGAGGACUUGACCAAUAUUUAUU
Molecule: ribosomal RNA, 174 nt
Filed under: Clostridioides difficile
Lineage: Bacteria; Bacillati; Bacillota; Clostridia; Peptostreptococcales; Peptostreptococcaceae
Description: partial 23S ribosomal RNA
Rfam family: Bacterial large subunit ribosomal RNA
Source: RNAcentral